GACGAACGCUGGCGGCGUGCUUAACACAUGCAAGUCGAACGGUGAAGCGCCUUCCUUUUUGGUGGGUGUGGAUGAGUGGCGAACGGGUGAGUAACACGUGAGUAACCUGCCCCCUUCUUCUGGAUAACCGCAUGAAAGUGUGGCUAAUACGGGAUAUUCUGGGUCUGUCGCAUGAUGGGUCUGGGAAAGAUAUUGUUUCGGUGGGGGAUGGGCUCGCGGCCUAUCAGCUUGUUGGUGGGGUGAUGGCCUACCAAGGCGGUGACGGGUAGCCGGCCUGAGAGGGUGGACGGCCACACUGGGAAUGAGACACGGCCAAGACUACUACGGGAGGCAGCAGUGGGGAAUAUUGCACAAUGGGAGCAAGCCUGAUGCAGCGACGCCGCGUGAGGGAUGGAGGCCUUCGGGUUGUGAACCUCUUUCGCCAGUGAAGCAGGCCUGCCUCGUUUGUGGGUGGGUUGACGGUAGCUGGAUAAGAAGCGCCGGCUAACUACGUG
RNAcentral lists this ribosomal RNA (494 nucleotides) under uncultured bacterium. Its description in RNAcentral is "partial 16S ribosomal RNA". It matches the Rfam family "Bacterial small subunit ribosomal RNA", at positions 28 to 507 of the family's 1533-position model. The record is from RNAcentral.